AUGAACAUUAAUGCAAGAAUUAAGGGAAAAAAUGGAUGUCUUUACCAGCAGGAAAAUGGCGAAAGAAGGAAAACCAGAAAAUUUCCAUUUAUUAGCUACAAAGAGAUCCUUUCAGCAACAAAUUUCUUCGCUGAUUCAAACUUGCUUGGACGGGGAGGUUUUGGCAAAGUUUACAAGGGCACAAUGGAAGGUGGAUAUGAGGUUGCUGUCAAAAGGCUUAGCCAGGGUUCUGGUCAAGGCAUUGUGGAGUUCAAAAAUGAAGUAGUUCUAAUUGCAAAACUGCAGCACAAGAACCUGGUCAGACUUCAUGGGUGUUGCAUUCAGGAAGAUGAGAAGUUACUGAUCUACGAAUACUUACCUAACAAAAGUUUGGAUGCCUUUAUUUUUGAUGUUGCACGAAAACACAUGCUUGAUUGGUCGACGCGGUUCAAAAUAGUUAAAGGAAUAGCAAGAGGUCUUCUUUAUCUCCAUCAAGAUUCAAGAUUAACAAUAAUUCACAGAGAUCUCAAAGCAAGCAACAUCUUGUUGGACGCAAAAAUGACUCCCAAAAUUUCAGAUUUUGGUAUGGCACGAAUAUUUGGUGCAAACCAGAAUCAUGCAAACACUACUAGGGUUGUCGGGACAUAUGGUUACAUGUCACCUGAAUAUGCGAUGGGAGGUGCAUUUUCUGUUAAAACAGACACAUAUAGCUUUGGUGUUCUUCUCUUGGAGAUUGUUAGUGGCCUGAAGAUCAGUUCACCUCUGCUCAAAACAAAUUUUUGCAGCCUUAUAACUUAUGCGUGGAGACUAUGGGAAGUUGGAGAAGCAACUGAACUAGUGGACUCUUCUGUUGUCGCGAAUUGCUCACUUCAUGAAGUUCUACGGUGUGUUCAUGUCGGACUCUUGUGUGUUCAAGACCAUCCCAACGAUAGGCCGCUAAUGUCAUCGGUUAUGUUUAUGUUGGAGAAUGAAAACACGCUUCUUCCAACUCCAAAGCAACCCGCUUACUUUGCUCUAAGUAAUCGUGAAGGUCAAGAAGCAACAGAUAACAUAGAGAACUCCACAAAUGCAAUUAGCAUCACAGCCUUGGAGGGUCGUUAA
This 1080-nucleotide ribosomal RNA is filed under the name Triticum aestivum (bread wheat). RNAcentral describes it as "partial small subunit ribosomal RNA". The record is from RNAcentral. Lineage: Eukaryota; Viridiplantae; Streptophyta; Magnoliopsida; Poales; Poaceae.